CCUCCUUCACUCACACUGUCUCUCUCAAAAAUAGACAUUAAAAAAAAUUUAGAAUAAACCGCGAUAUGUAUGUUAUACCUCGGCUUUGGGGUUUGGGGUGAUUUUUAUUUUUCUGCCUGUCUUUGUUUUCCAAUCUUUUUAUGAUAUUUGCUAAUAAUUAUAAAGACAUACUUAUUAAGUGCUUAGUCAAGCACUAUUCUAAAUGCUUUAUGUAUAUAAACUCAUUUAAUCUACACAACCUACUGAGGUUUGUGCCAUUAUUAUCCUCUUCUAAAGAUGACAAAAGAGGUACAGGGAGGUUAUGUAAUUUGCUCGAGAUUACACACAUCAUAAGUGGAGAAGGCACACCCCCUGUCCAUCACUCCCAUGUUCCAGGACAGAACGCAUGGGACAGCUAUCUGAGAUUUCAGAGAAGUAAAUGGUAGGGAGGAAGGAACCAGAAUUUGAAGUUCCAUGAAAACAGUGGUGGGCUUACCAUCCCCUCCCCCUAACUCCAUUAUCACCCAGAAUGCACUAAAAGGCCUCCCCAAACCUGGAAGUGUACAUCAGGUAUGAACUGAAAGAGUUCCUCUUGGAGCCCUCUGUUGCAGGUCUGAGGAGCAGGAAAGGGACUUCUAAGGGUCCGAGACGGGGAAAUCCGUUGCUUUUCUUUUUCCCUUCUCUUCCCUCAUUAGCCCCAGGCAGUACCACGGUGGUGUAGUUAUAGUAGCACAAUGACAGCAACAGUGACUACGCAGGCACUGAAAACUGAGGGAGAACUCCUUUGACCACAGAAGCUGUGGUCCCAAGAGUGGAAUCAAAUCCCUCUGCUUUUUUCUUUCUUUGUUCUCUUGAUGCUUAGCCCAGACAUAUAGUGGGAAAUGCUCAGCAAAGUAGAGAAGUUAAAGCCCCAGUUUUUUUUGGGCAAAGGAUUGGGAAAAGAAGAACGAGAGAAUCAGAGUGUCAGAUCACAGAGAGGAGGGAAAUCGAGAGUCCCAUAGAGUUGUGUGUGAACUCUUGGGCUCACCUCAAAGCUGCACAAGCAUGGAUCUGACCUUCAACAUCUUACCAAAGCUUUAUGAAACGAGCUACAGGGUGGACCACUGUCUAGGUCUGACUGACCACUGGGUGGCACACAUAAAGGACUGAUCUAGAUAGCACCACAAAGUUAAACUGACAUCAGAACCACAAUACAAAGAAGGUAGGUGGCUGCUUGAACCAAACCUGGUCGAUAGACUGCUAAAAUAAAAAACACUCUCACUAGGAUUUUAAUAGGAUCCAGGGGCUCAAAACGAUAUUCAAAAUAUCCAGGAUACAACAUAAAAUUACUCAGCCUACAAAGUACUCUCCAGGGAAAAGACAACCAACCCCAAGAUGACAGAAAUGUUGGAAUUUAAAGCAAAGACUUCAAAGCAGUUAGUAUAACUAUACUGGAAGAAGAAAGGGAGAAUGCUUUUGAAAUAAAUGGAAAGAUAGAAAGUUUUAGCAAAGAAAUAGAAGACAUAAGGAAGAACCAAGUGGAACUUUUAGAACUGAAAAAUAGGAGUAACCAAAAUAAAAUAUUCACUGGAGAGCAGAAUGGAGAUGACUUUGAAGAUAAUCAAUAUAAAUUAUGCAACCUAAACAACAAACAAAACCCGGUUUAAAAAAAAAAAAACCCACAGAACCUCAGAGACCUGCGGGAUAAGACCAAAUAUCUAGCAUUUGUGUCAACAGAGUCCCAGAAGGUGAGGAGAAAAAAUAUGAUUUAGAAAAAUUAUUGAAAGAAUUCAUGGCUAAAAUGUUUGGUCCCAAAUUUGGCAGAAACACACAGAUUCAAGAAGCUUGGUGAACGGCAAACAGAAUAUACUCAAAGAAACCUAUGACCGGACAUAAUAAUCAAAUUGCUGAAAAUCAAAGAUAUAGAAAAAUAUCCAAAGAACAUCUAGAAAAAAGAAUCCAUUUCCUAUAAGGAAUCAAUGACUCAGAUAACUGCAGAUUUCUCAUCAGAAACUAUGGAAUCCAGAGGGAGCUGGAACAACACUUAAAGUGCUGGAAGAAAAGUGUCAAGUCAGAAUUCUAUAUCCAAUGAAAAUGUCAAUCAGCAGUUAUAUAAAAUAAAGACAUUCUUAGGUGAAGGAAAGCAUAAGGAUUUGUCACUAGCAGAGCUGCUGUACAAGAAAUGCUAAAGAAAGUUCUUCAAACAGAAGAAAAAUGAUAACAGGAAACUGGGGACAUCAAGAAGGAGGAGCAACAGAAAUGCAGUGACAUAGGAGUUGGGGUUUGGAUGACCCUUGUAAUUGUUGCUAAGCUGUGUGGAAUCCUCUCCAACCUCAAGAUUCCGCUUCAGGAGGUCCGGGGUGGUGAUGCCCAUCUGCUACCACACUUGGUAACAUCCAGAGAAGCUCCAUGUGUCCAAAUGUCCUAGCUGCGGACACUCGGUUGGCCGCUUGGCUGGCGAACACUUACAUCUUGGAGCUUCCAGUGCAGCCCCACCUGGAUCCCACCCCUCUAAUCUGAAGACCCCAGUAAUGUCUAAGGAGAGAAAUAAAGACAACUUUUUUUUUUUUUUAAUCCCUAUCCCAACUGGAAUGGACUGGGACAAGGAAACCUUGACCCUUGCUGCUCCCUCAGCCGUUGGGAGGCCCCAUGCCCAGGACUGGGAGCAUCAGGGCAGGGCAGCUUCCGAAAGCUUUCCCAGGAACACUGUUUUCGGAUAGCGGGGGGAGCCUGUACUUGUUUGACUUCUGAGAUUCCUGGAUUCUUUUGGCCACAGGGUUGGUUCCCUUGACCCCGAUCAUGGAUCUUCACCAGCCCUAUGUAAUGAGAUUUGGCACGUGUCCUGGAAUAGGACGUCAAUGCAUGAUCGCUGCUCUCUACUUCCUCCCUCUGCUCGUUCAGCUACUAGACAGAUCCUCUUGAAUCUGUUCGUUCACAGAGGACAUGGGAAAGAUCCUCCCUUCCCUAAGAGGAACCAGAGCCUGGAGUUGUUUGUGUGUGUGUGUUGUUUUUUAAGUAAGCUCUACGCCCAACAUGGGGCUUAAACUCACAAC
Molecule: long non-coding RNA, 3011 nt
Organism: Lynx canadensis (Canada lynx)
Lineage: Eukaryota; Metazoa; Chordata; Mammalia; Carnivora; Felidae
Exons: 5
Source: RefSeq, a predicted model, not a curated record